RNAcentral lists this ribosomal RNA (208 nucleotides) under uncultured Acidobacteriota bacterium. RNAcentral describes it as "uncultured Acidobacteria bacterium partial 16S ribosomal RNA". It matches the Rfam family "Bacterial small subunit ribosomal RNA", at positions 568 to 775 of the family's 1533-position model. The record is from RNAcentral. Lineage: Bacteria; Pseudomonadati; Acidobacteriota.
CGCGUAGGCGGCUUGGCAAGUCAGAUGUGAAAGCCCCGGGCUUAACUCGGGAAUUGCAUCUGAAACUGCUUUGCUUGAGUCCUGGAUGGGAUAGUGGAAUUCCCAGUGUAGCGGUGAAAUGCGUAGAUAUUGGGAGGAACACCUGCGGCGAAGGCGGCUAUCUGGACAGUGACUGACGCUGAGGCGCGAAAGCUAGGGGAGCGAACGG